GGGGCAGAACCGCUGCGCGGAGCCUUCCGGACUUCGGUUCCACCUCCCCGCUGCAAAUCUGUGCUCUGCGCGCGCGGCCGCCAGCCGGGCAAAGAUCUGGCUGCGUGUGGGAAAAGAUAGUAACCUAGAAACAGGCCGUCCUCAACAAGUAUAAUAAUAGGUAUAGACAGUGUCUCUUGACUCCCAGCUUUAAAAGAUGAAGAUGCCAGCACCUCUAACCUUCCAGUUGUAUCCUGUGUUUUGGAUUCCCUGUUUUCUUUCCUGGUUUAACCCCUCAUCUUUUUGAAGCACAUCUUCAAGUAGUUGUCUAAGAAAAAGAGCUGGGAAAGCAAGAAAGAACACUGUGGGGUUGAACUGGAAAUGGCUGUAAUGGCACAAAGUCAUGUCUGGAAGUAGAGCAUGCAGACAAGGUUGGCGCAGGCAGAGAACUCAAAGGAGAGAGCAGAGGCGUGAGAACGCCAGGGAGCAGCCCCCAGUGGUGCUGGGCCGAAGUCAGCUUACAAGAGGGA
Balaenoptera acutorostrata (minke whale) is the source of this 509-nucleotide long non-coding RNA. RefSeq lists it as uncharacterized. Lineage: Eukaryota; Metazoa; Chordata; Mammalia; Artiodactyla; Balaenopteridae. The record is from RefSeq and is a predicted model, not a curated record. The transcript has 5 exons.